UGAGCAGAGAUUUUGUCUGUGAGUGUUAUACUACAAUCAUUGCAUUCUGUUGCUGAAAGAUUACUCUGAAAAUUUGACUUGGUGUAGAUGGGCAGUUGUCUUUCAUCUCAAUGGUUGAAAUCAGCACUGAUAUUCCCCGGCUCA
Molecule: small nucleolar RNA, 144 nt
Organism: Corylus avellana
Lineage: Eukaryota; Viridiplantae; Streptophyta; Magnoliopsida; Fagales; Betulaceae
Product: small nucleolar RNA snoR135
Source: RefSeq, a predicted model, not a curated record